CAAUAGCGUAUAUUAAAGUUGUUGCGGUUAAAAGCUCGUAGUUGGUUUUCUGUCGGGUGCUGCCGGUCCGAACCUAGUUCGUGCAUCUGGUCCAGCCUCGGCAUUUUCCUCGGGAGCGUGCUUGUCAUUCAGUUGAUGAGGCGCGGCCGGGGACUUCUACUUUGAGGAAAUUAGAGUGUUUACGGCAAGCAUGCGCUUGAAUAUAUUAGCAUGGGAUAAUUAUACAGGACCUUAAUCCUAUUUUAUUGGUUCCUAGGAAGAAGGUAAUGAUAAAUAGGGAUAGCUGGGGGCACUCGAAUUAACGCGUCAGAGGUGGAAUUCUUGGAUUGCGUUACGACGACCUACUGCGAAAGCAUUUGCCAAGGAUGUUUUCAUUGAUCAAGAACGAAAGUUAGGGGAUCGAAGAUGAUCAGAUACCGU
This 420-nucleotide ribosomal RNA is filed under the name uncultured eukaryote. RNAcentral describes it as "bacterial SSU rRNA". It matches the Rfam family "Eukaryotic small subunit ribosomal RNA", at positions 592 to 1018 of the family's 1831-position model. The record is from RNAcentral.